This 208-nucleotide unclassified non-coding RNA is filed under the name soil metagenome. RNAcentral's name for it is "partial contains 5.8S ribosomal RNA, internal transcribed spacer 2, and large subunit ribosomal RNA". The record is from RNAcentral.
AACUGAUACUACCUGCGGGAACCUGCGGAAGGAUCAUUACCGAGUUUACAACUCCCAAACCCCUGUGAACAUACCACUUGUUGCCUCGGCGGAUCAGCCCGCUCCCGGUAAAACGGGACGGCCCGCCAGAGGACCCCUAAACUCUGUUUCUAUAUGUAACUUCUGAGUAAAACCAUAAAUAAAUCAAAACUUUCAGCAAUGGAUCUCU